Molecule: long non-coding RNA, 7148 nt
Filed under: Gallus gallus (chicken)
Lineage: Eukaryota; Metazoa; Chordata; Aves; Galliformes; Phasianidae
Description: lncRNA (ENSGALG00010023061.1)
Source: RNAcentral
CCCGCAGACACGGAGCGGUUCGGCUGACGGCCCUCGGGACGGGCCCGGCCUGCCUUCCGGGGCUGCUGCGCCCCACAUCUUCCAGUGAGGCUGCCUGCGUGCCCGUACGUGCUGGUUGUGUUACUCUGAGGGUCUGCAGGUAACGACGUUUGUGCAAUGAGGGCGGCGAGGCAGUGCCACAGGUUGCCCGGAGAGGCGGUGUGCCCCAUCCCUGCACACACCCAGGGUCAGGACGGAGGGGCUCUGAGCACUGACGGGGCUGUAGGUGUCCCUGUUGGUGCAUCGGGCUGGACCCGAUGACCUUCAAAGCUCCCUUCCAACUCCGGCUUCUUAUGAUCCUAUGCUGGCCAUGUGCUUCCCUCUGCUGUCUGCUGUGGAACGUAAGGCGUUAUCGGGUCUACGGUAAGACCUGGGAUAAACCUUCAACUUCCAGUAAGCAGCACCUCUCUGACAGUUAUUUAAAGCCUGUCCGCAUUGUUCCAGAGCUAUUUCCUUUUUCCUCUAAGGCAACCUACAGUAGGAAACCGGCGGUCCCUCAGGUAGCCCGCUUCCACUUCACUUGAAGUCUUGCCUGCUCGUUGCAUUUGGGGCCAGCAGAGCGACCUGCAGAGGCUGAAAAUUGUCUGCGGCUUCCUGCCUUUUGUGGAGUGGGCCAAAGAUAACAGUUUUGGUUUGGUUUCGGACGGCCCAGGAGUGGGCCUGUUGUGAUUCAUGCGUUCCACUUGCAGAUUGGCAUUGCUGAGACUAUAAAAUGGACGUGCUUGCUUUGGACGGCCUUCCGUAGCCUUUGAAGGGCACAGAAGUGUUCUCCCUGGUUUUGGUGGGAGAAGCAGUCUGUUUGGUGUGCUAGGCUGGUGUGCCAGUUAGUAUCUCCUACUGAUAGGAUGGGAAAGGACAGGGGAUUGGGGUCUCAUUUGUGAAGACUGAAUGUUUGUAGAUGGGGCGUUUUGCACAUUACAUACAAUUUGCAGACCAGUGAUUUGGUAGUUUGUUUUAACCGAUCCAUCUGCCAUCUUAACUCUAGAAAUGAAUGGAAAAGACAGCGUGCUGUGAAUGGAAGUCGUGCUCUGUGAAACCAGCAGUUACUUGUGUGGUAACAGAUAUGUUCUGCGGGGAAAAAGAGAAUGAACUGAAAGCGAGACGUGGAAAUCAAGCUAUGGGAAAGGGUUUUUUUUUGUGACGUUGUGGAUGACUGCGAGGGUUGGCAUUUGUAGCAACCAGAGCCCAUCUCAGUCAUGCAGGGAGUCGCUUUGUAAACGCAGCUUUCCUGCCAACGAGGUUUGUUUGCUUGGUGAUAAGAAACAAUGGUCAACUCGAUGUGCUACUUAAGCAUUUCAGUGCUUGAGGAGAGGAAUCUAGGUUUGUGCUGAACCUGUUUUCUUAGUUAGUCAAAUGCCGGCUUGGCAGCCAAUCUAGAAGGCUGGUAGCACCGAGGCAGAGUGAUUAUGAGGAUUGUUUUCAGCAGCCUCUGCUAAGUCUGCUUUUAUGAAACUUCUUUCCGUUAAAGAAAACAGGUCUUAUCUUCAGGAUUGGAAGCACCGCAUGAGGGAGAGGCACGGGCCAUACUUUUCAAGGUGCCUGAAAAGCAGUGAUGGUUUUGGCUUUGAGUAAGACUGGUGUUCAUCCACGAGAGUGAUAUUAGCUGCAGUUAAGGAGGGGAAAGCAUGGCACAGAGGAGCAACAAAAGGUGUGAGUUUUCCAGUUGUACAUGGAGCACUCGUUUUUGUUCUGCUAAGGAGAGUGUAGUUACAUUGGUUUGGGUUUGUUUUUUCCACUUCCUGCACCUGGGGGUUGUUGUACCCUAAUACAGGCUCUUUUUCUUAUGGCACAGUGGGAUGGCAUGAUCGGUGUGUGGCCCUGGGGGCACCCAGGCCUGAAGCCGUGCCCUCACUGUGUGCUGAGAGCUGGCCUUGGGGUGAAGCCAGGUGGUGCCUGACACUGGGUGAGCUCCCAGAGGAGGACAGCACACUCCAGGUCCCGUCCUUAUUUUACUGGUGUUGCAAACAAGUUAUUCUUGUACUCUGCAGAAAGCCUCACGACCACAAAACCAGCAAUAAUUGUAUAAAUGAUAAGCCUGUUUUCCUCCUCCUCCUCCCAGAUAUUCUGAGUGCGACAGACAGCAGAGAUGUGCAUUGCUGGAAUCCAGAGAGUUUCAUAACGUGGCAGCCGCUUGCUGCAUAUGCCACUGCAUACAUAAAGCGGUAUUUAUUUUAAGUAUUGAGGAACAUUCUCUCUAAGCAGAAGAAAAAAGCGUUUAGGUGAAGCCGGUCCCGUUUGUUUACAAGUCUUGGUUUUUGUCUUUAUACAUUUUAAAUGCUUUUUAUUUGUAUCCUGAUUUUUUUUGAGCCUUUCAAGUUCAUGUUUUCCAUUUCUCGUUGUUCACACAACAAGAAAGCCUGGAUUGAGUCCUUACUUUAUAAAGGAAGAUCUCAUUGAGUGUCCCCUCUAACCACACAACCUCAGCCAAAGGGUGUUUAAAAAUACAGCCCCUUUUGAGAGAAUUGCUUGUCUUGAGAGCAGUUUUCAGCUCUGAGCUUGAGUAAUUUAAGUAAAUACUUUGUUGGCGGUUUAAGAAGCUUUUAACAACACCUAUCUCUGUUUGCUUUUCAGGGAGGUCUCUCUUCUACUUUUCUGAACAUCUAGAGCUUGUUUCACCUCUGUAUGUGCUGAUGAAGUCAGAAACGUAGUGUACCAGCAUGACUAACGUGUGUUGAAUAAUGCAUACAAAUAUAUGCACAGAUUUCAUGCAGUCCCCUUAAGCUGCUGAGCAGCAGGGAGGGUGCAGAGCCCCUCCUCAGGGCGGCAGGAGGAGGUGUGUUGGCAUCCUGGGAGGAGCAGAAAACCUCUGUGGUUCCCUGAGGAAAUCACAGAUGCGUUCGAGGCCUUAAGCUUGGUAGCCUGAUGUUUAACCCUGUCCUUGUUUUUGGAAUGCUGUUAACAGAUAAGUGAGCAUUUUAAAUCUGUUGUUGUUUGUUGCGGUGCUGCUCUCAAGCAGUGCACAUCAAGACCAGGAGGAGACAUCCUUCCUCAGCUCAAAGAUUCUGCCUCUCCCCGCUAUGGAUACAAGCACAAGCACCUGGCUAUGCGUUCCCCAGGCUGCAGACAGCUUUCUGGCCAGCUGCUCUCUCUGCUCUAUCCCUACCAAUAACAUCCAGGGAAAGCAGGGGCCGACUGCUGUCCUGUGGCUGUGCAGGAGCCCCAUUCUGUGCUCCCAGGCCAGGUGCUCCAGAAUGGCUUUUCUAGGAGGUUACGACUUGUGUGGUUUCAAUCGCAUAAGUCUUUGGCCUUGUGCCCUGAAGUGCCAGCAGAGGCAUGCUGUAAUUGCCCGUAAACGCACCGUCUGUCAUUAUCAUUGUUUAAUUAUUCCAGCUUCUCACCGCCACGCACUGCUCAGUGUCUCUCCUGCUAUCUUUAUUUAAUUGAGUGGAAAAAAUCUGAGACUUGUGCUUCACUUACGUCACUUUGUAUUUAUCCAGCAUCACUGGAUCCCGCUUUGAAGUCCCAGCUUUUGUAUGCAGAAGUCGGUCUUCUAUACAGACAAAAUAAUGUCCGUGUCAAAAGCGUAUGUUAGAAAUAGAAUCAAUAUUUUAACACAUGGUAAACUCCGGCCACAAAGCUCUUAGCACAGUCAAAUGAUUGUAUGAUCAUCCUUUGAAACUUGGCUCUGCCCCUGGGAAACAAGAAAGGGAAAGAAAACUCUUGAAUAACCAAGCCCUUGUCCUCACAGCGCAGGACUGUUCUCAGCCUGUCGCUUUGUCUGUGCCACUCCUUCCUUUUCCGUCUCCCAGCUCUGUUUUCUUCUGCAUCAAACGCAUUCAGCUCCAGGAGCCUUCUUUCUCCAGCCCAUCCCUAUGGAUCUGUUUUAGUGCAUUACCAGACGUCAGUUCCGUCCCGAGAUCGCCCUGCACCGUCCCCGUGGCAGUUCCACCACGUUUCAGACACCUCUACGCUUCUGUACCAAGCUUGCAACUAACCAGAUAUUAAUGUGAUGCAAAAGGUAAUCUUUCUGAGAUCUCUCCAACGCUCCCCUUGUCCGUAUGGCCUGAAAAGACUUGGCAGUGUGUUGGCUGCUUUUCUUUUCUCCCCUUUCCCCGUGUCAGUGACAAAUGCACAUUGUUUUUCUGGUCUUUCAGUCUCCGAGCCAGACCAACGCUUUGUGCAGCACCUAGCUCACCGGGUUGCUAUCAAGGCAGCUGUGUGCUCCUACACCAACACAAAAUAUUGGGGUUGCUGGCACUCACUCUGGCCUAGUUUGCCUCUCUCCUCUUAGAAGGAGUUUCAUGACGUCCUCCUGGAAGAUCAUUGUACACCUGAACAGGUCUACCUUUCAGGAUUCUAUUUUACUUUUUCAUAAAUCCUCAGCUGAGGUUUUCAUUUGCAGGUGUGCUCCUUGUAAUGCUCGGCUCCCUGACUGAGCCAGCAUCAUUUUUGGGGUUGUACUUUCCGGCUUCUCAUAGCUGUAAGAUUAUUAAUUUCAUACUAUUUUCUGAUUUGUUUCAUUUUUCAUCCAUCUCUUUCCUGCAGGAGAGAGCAAUUUAUAUCAUGAUUUCGCUGUGGAAUUGACUUCAGGCUUUACUGCUAUUUGUCACCAUUCAGGAAAUCCAUCCCUGGCUCGAGAAGAACACUCAGUCCCUGCUGACAGUUUGAAAGAGGGAGAGAAAAUAGAUAGCAGAGCUGCAGCUAUUAGGACCAACAGGCACAUAUUUUAUUCCAACUCAAUUUUCCAUUUCCAAAUGCCUUUUGAAGAAAACCUUUCUGUUUGAAAGAACAUGAAGGAAGGUUGUGGGUACCGGUGGGUUUUUUUGGCGGGUGGGGGGUUGUUUUGGUAGUGAUGGUUUGUUGUCAAUGUUGUUUCGUAGGGACUCUCCUGUUCUUGAUGAUGUCCAUCUUCUUCCACGUUUCAGGCAGCAGGCUCACAACAACGACAAGAUGUUAUCCCACGGAAAGCUGCUGCUGCUGCCUCUGGCCUUGGUUAACCUGUUGGCAAUGGUGCUUGCCUGGGCAUGGGGCAACUGGCUUUUCACACAGCUCAGCAUGGACGUGCUGCCACUCCCAGUCACUUUUAGGACACAGUAGAAUUGUUUUUCUUGAGAUUACUGUACCCAUUAAUCUUAAGAAAAACAUGUAAUAAAACUGUUCAGCCUUCCUGGGGCCACCACUCCCAGAGACCUUUCCCCUUUUUGGCUUCUGCAAUAGCUUCUUUCCUUUGGCUCUGCACCUUUAUCAGCUAGAAAUGAUAAACUACAAAGCUGGUUGGCUUCAGGCUCUCUUUUUUGCAGGACAGGCUAUGCUUGUGCCUAUUGAGGACUGGAAGAUCACAGAGGAUGAGGGGGAAAGGGAAGGCUGCUCGCUCUUGUACACAAUGCAGUGGCAGGAUACAGCCUUUUAUGAAGUUCAGCAAAGAAAAACUUGGGCUUUCCUGCACACCGUGCCAUACCAGUCAGCCUGGUACUUAUGUUCCUGGACCUUUGAAGGCAUGCAGAUCUGCAGUGCUGCUACAGCAUCAGAGUCCAACUGCAAUGUGUGGCAUGUGAGAAGCUGGUGAACCCGCGGCCACGUUCGGCUUGAAUACACUUUCCUUGGGAGGAAGUGGCUUUUCCCUCGGAGAGCUCAACUCCCCAGGGUCCCUGUGAGGCUGUGCCAGCUCUUCCAGCCUCCCCACUUUCUGUGUACCUGUGACCAUGGCAAUACAGCCAGGAUUACAUCUAAGGUGAAGACAGAAAAACCAUGAUGAAGGUUUAUGCUAUUUUCAUGACGAAUAUGAUGCUCACAAAAAUGAAAAGGUGUUUGUCUUCAAAGCCUUCAAAGCUUUCUUCUUUCCCACAGAACGAGUGAACACGUUGCAACCCUUGCCUGAAAGACUGAGGCCAAGUUUCUCAAAAACUGACAAUUCAGGAAAAGGGAUAGGAUGGGAAAGUCUGGGCAGAGUGAGGUGUAGAUGAGAGGAAGGUAAAACCUUAAAAUGGGAAUUUGGAGGUUUGAGAUGAGGUGGAGGGAGGCUGAGAUUCACGAAGAAAGUGUAAUCAGGAAUGAGAGGAGGUUUAUGCUGAGACCAUCUGUGCAAGGAACCAGUAGCAGGGGAGGGACAGAAGUCAGCAGAAUUGUUUGUCAGUGCAGAGAAAGUCACAGGGGAUAGGAAGUUAGAAGAAGAACUGGGCAAAGGAGACUGAAUGAAGAGCUGGCGUAGGGAACCAGAGCUGGAAGCGCUGUUGGAUGCUAAGAAACUAGAGGCGGGUGGUAGACAUCUGAAGGUGUUAGCUGGGCAUAGGCAGAGGGGAAGGUGGUGGAGUACUGGGGAAGGCUGCGGGAUGAGGGGCAUGUGCUGGCUGGGCCAUCUCUGCUCUCCAGGCUGGCAGCCAAGCAGGGCUUACCCAAGGCUGGCCUUCACUGUGGCUCAGCCGGCAAAGAAUUUGCCUCUUGUUGGUCUGCCCCAGACACAGAGAGAAUUUAGUGCCCUGGGAUGAGGCGGCAGCAGCUGCCUGCCUGGGGGAGGAGAGGGCUUGCUUGUAGUUAGAUGGAAAAAUAAAAUUACAGUUGGGAGGAGGUAGUGAAAAGGCCACGUGAACAAGAGAGAAAAGGUCAAUUCAUUAGUCCGGCAGCCACUAAAUUAAGAAAAGGCAAGUGAGGCUAUAAUAUCAGAGGUAUCUGAAUUCAGUCAAAGAUGGUUUUGAAGUUGCUGGAUUGAUCUUGUGGUCAGCUUAAGCAAGCUUAACAAAUUAAUUACAGUAUUUUAGUUCAUUGUGUAAGAGCUAGCUAAUAAAUCACAGUGCUUUGUAGAAACAUGCUUGAAACAACUGUGUAAAUACUAAAUAGCCUUAGGAGUGGUCUUACGAAUCCACUGAAUAAUCCAAAUUCCAGCACUCUUCCCCCUCUGCUGCUGCUCUAGAUAUAGGAUAACAGUCACUGCUGUUAUCUGCUCCUUUUUGAGGCAGGGGGGCAGAGGUCUGUGUCAGACAUGGGGAGGUACCAGCACUGCUGGGGACCCAGGGAAGUGCCAUGAUGCUGUGUGAUCUGCACCACAGCAGUCCUUUUAGGAGCUACAUGCAUUAAAGGAACAUUAUUACGGUUGCAAAGCCAAGCAUUUAAAAGUUAGGCAAUGUCCAAAUGAAAUACCUCUGAAACCUUAAUUCAGACUGUGUACACACGCA